RNAcentral lists this long non-coding RNA (2834 nucleotides) under Homo sapiens (human). RNAcentral describes it as "HSALNT0327053". Lineage: Eukaryota; Metazoa; Chordata; Mammalia; Primates; Hominidae. The record is from RNAcentral.
CGCUGGAGUGUCAGAGGCUUGGGCAGGAGAUAAUUCGCCGUUGUGCUUGGAAAAUCCUGCAGUUGUACCUGCAACAGGCACCUGAGGAGGCUGGGCAAAUAUUAAUAUAUAAUACUUACUGAGUGCUUCCUAUGAACUAGGACCUCUGAGAAGAGAUUUAUGUGCAGACCUCCUCUAACCUUUCCAGCAGCCCAUGAGAUGCAAAAGAAAGACUUCUGGAUUCACAAAGCUCAUUUACUCAAAGAGGAGAUCCAAAAUAAGUGGAAAAGAUACUUACAGAGAAGUCAGGAAGAUCAUGGGUCGAUGGCGUAAAAUACAACUAAUAAGAGAAUCACCACGCAGGGUCUAUAUCAAAAGGUCAAAGACCAUGACGUCCCAGGCAUCGCCAGCCAGAAAGCUGCCAUGGAGCCUUCAUUGAACCCUUACCAUGGGACAGCCACUGAGCUAAGAGCAUUGCAUGCAUGAGCUCACAUAAUCCUCACAACACCAAAUGGAGAUAUCAUUAGCUCCAUUUCACAGAAGAAGCAAUCAAGGUUUACAGACAAUAGAGAACCUGGCAAAGUCAUCCAGCCUGUGUGUGGUAGAAGAAGAUUUGAAUUAAAUACUUUCCGCCUCCAAAGUCCUUGCUGUUAACUGAGCCGUGCUGCCUCCCAGAUGGUCACAGUCAUUGCUCCCUUCAUCUGAAUUUCCUCUUCUCUGUGCAUGCUUUUUCUCACAUGGGGCAUCAUUCUAUAUGGCCAUUCUGGGACACACUUCUUUUUAUGUCUGUACCAUCCACCAAGUCCUUGAAGUACUCUGCCACUUACUCUGCAUCCAGCUCUCAGAAAAGGCAAGAGAGACCGUGUAGAAGAUACCAUGGGAAGUUUCAAAAGUCCAGGCCUGGAAGUGGCAUUGUACAUUACAACCACCCACGUUUCAAUGGCAAAAACAAAGUCACAUGACCACAUCUACAGCAAAGGAUAUUGAAUUGUGUAGAUUGGUUUGUGUAAGACUGGAAUCAACAUUUAUCUGAAUGUUUGAUAAAUCUUUCUGAUAAAAUCAUCUAAACCAAAUUUUUUGUUAUUAGGAAAAAUUUUAACUAUUGUUUAACUAAAAAAUCAAUUACAUUAAGGUUUUUGAAAUUUAUUGGCAUAAGUAUUUUCAGAGAAAUCUCUCAUAUUUUAAAAUCUUUGCCAUGUCAAUUGUUAUGUCCUCUUUUCAUGCUUAAUUUAUUUGUGACUUCUCUUUUUUCCUCGAUCAAAAAAUCAGCUUUGGUAUUUAUUAAUCCUGAAUAUCAUUUCCUAUCUCAUUAAUUUCUUCUCAAGUCUUUAUUAUUGCCUUCCUUUGACAUUUUGGGUUUGAUAUAUUGUGACUCCUCUAAUUCUGGCAUUAUCGUAACAACAUUUUUCUAAUAUUAAGCAUUUUCACUUCUAAGUUUCCUUUUGAUUAUCACUUUAGCUGAUUCCUACACAUUUGUAUAUGAAGUAUUUUAAUUAGUAAGUUUAAAAAUAUUGUAACUUCCACUCUGAUUGCUUUCAUGGAUUGUUUUAGUUUGUUUGCUGGUGCUAUAAUGAAUCCCUCAAAUUGGGUAAUUUAUAAAGAAGAGAAAUUUAUUUUCUCACAAUUCUGGAGACUGGGAAGUCCAAGAUCAAAGCACCAGUAGUUAGCAAGUGUCUUCUUGCUGCUUUAUCACAUGGUGGAAGGGCAAAGAGGCAAAAGGGGCCAAACUCAUCCUUUUAUAAUGGCAUUAAUCCUACCCAUGAGAGUAGAGUCUUUAUGCCCCAAUCAUCUCUUAAAUGUCCCACCUCCCAACACCACUGCAAUGGUAAUCAAAUUCCAUGAGUUUUGGAGGGGACAAACAUGCAAACCAUCACAUGGACAAGUUAAGUUAAUUAUUAGAACCGUCUCCCAUUAAAAUUCCACGUUUGGACUUUUUUGCAGUAAACUUCUUGUGUGUUUUAAAAUUUUUUACUUAAUUAUAUUAGGGUUAGAUAGUAUGAUUUCUAUAAUAGAAAUACUUUGACACUGACUGAGACUUGCUUUAAGGGCUUAGUAUGUGGUCAGUCUUUAUAAAUACUCCAUGUGCCUUUUAAAGGAAGAUUCAUUCUAAAUUUGCUGGUUGCAGGGUUCUACAUUAUUUCCGUCAGAUCAAACAUGUUAAUUGUUUUACUGAAACUUAUAUCCUUUAGUAAGUUUUUGCCUACUUAUUCAACCAAUAUGUUAAACUUCUUCCAUUUUGCUAGUAAAGUUAUUAAUCUCUCUUUAUAAUUGUGUCAAAUUUUUCCUUGUAUCCUCUCAAGCUAUAUUAUUGGGUGGAUAGAGGUUAAGAAUUAUUAUACUUUCCUGUUGGAUUUAACCUUUUAUUAUAAUGCCUACUAAUGCCUUUGCCAUGAAGAUAUCAGGAAUUUUAUCAGUAAGCUAUACCAGAUGUCAUUAAAUUUUACCUGAAUAUAUUUAACAGUUUUUUUAUGAAGGUCAAUUGCAUAGAGUUGGAUUAAUCAAAGUCCUUGGUGCAGUAUGCACUGCAUUUAUUGAUCUAUCCAUGACCAUUCUUUAUUUCAUUGUUUGUCUAUUUGUUCAUUUGUAUGUUUAUAUUAUAAACUCCCAGGAACCAACUUCCCAAUACAUAGAGCAUUGCCAAUAAUUUAUAUGUGAGCUCCUUCUAUAUUUCACACUUCUGGUUCCCCUUCAGAGGCAGUAAUUAUCCUAAAUUUUGUGUUUAUCAUUUGUUUGGUGUGUUUGUAUUUGUUUUGCUUUCGGGUUCACUUCAUAUAUUUGUUUGUUUUUUAUCAACUUUUAAGUUCACUUCAUAUAUUUGUAUGCCCAAACAGUAUAUAUCUUUUAGUUUCAUAAAA